UAUGGUUGUGUGCCAGCACCGCGGUAAUACGGAGGAUCCGAGCGUUAUCCGGAUUUAUUGGGUUUAAAGGGAGCGUAGGCGGGUUGUUAAGUCAGUUGUGAAAGUUUGCGGCUCAACCGUAAAAUUGCAGUUGAUACUGGCGACCUUGAGUGCAACAGAGGUAGGCGGAAUUCGUGGUGUAGCGGUGAAAUGCUUAGAUAUCACGAAGAACUCCGAUUGCGAAGGCAGCUUACUGGAUUGUAACUGACGCUGAUGCUCGAAAGUGUGGGUAUCAAACAGG
RNAcentral lists this ribosomal RNA (280 nucleotides) under Bacteroides stercoris ATCC 43183. RNAcentral's name for it is "partial 16S ribosomal RNA". It matches the Rfam family "Bacterial small subunit ribosomal RNA", at positions 496 to 776 of the family's 1533-position model. Lineage: Bacteria; Pseudomonadati; Bacteroidota; Bacteroidia; Bacteroidales; Bacteroidaceae. The record is from RNAcentral.